This 253-nucleotide ribosomal RNA is filed under the name uncultured bacterium. RNAcentral describes it as "partial 16S ribosomal RNA". It matches the Rfam family "Bacterial small subunit ribosomal RNA", at positions 524 to 776 of the family's 1533-position model. The record is from RNAcentral.
UACGGGGGGGGCAAGCGUUGUUCGGAAUUACUGGGCGUAAAGCGUGCGCAGGCGGUUUGUUAAGUCUGCUGUGAAAUCCCCGAGCUCAACUUGGGAAUUGCAGUGGAUACUGGCAAGCUAGAGUAUGGUAGAGGAAGGUGGAAUUCCCGGUGUAGCAGUGAAAUGCGUAGAGAUCGGGAGGAACACCAGUGGCGAAGGCGGCCUUCUGGACCAAUACUGACGCUCAUGCACGAAAGCGUGGGGAGCAAACAGG